RNAcentral lists this ribosomal RNA (305 nucleotides) under uncultured bacterium. RNAcentral's name for it is "bacterial SSU rRNA". It matches the Rfam family "Bacterial small subunit ribosomal RNA", at positions 336 to 655 of the family's 1533-position model. The record is from RNAcentral.
CUCCUACGGGGGGCAGCAGUGGGGGAUAUUGGACAAUGGGGGGAACCCUGAUCCAGCGAUGCCGCGUGAGUGAAGAAGGAUUUCGGUAUGUAAAGCGCUGUCAGCAGGGAAGAAAGCAAUGACGGUACCUGACCAAGAAGCGCCGGCUAACUACGUGCCAGCAGCCGCGGUAAUACGUAUGGGGCAAGCGUUAUCCGGAAUUAUUGGGUGUAAAGGGAGCCUAGACGGCUGUGCAAGUCUAGAGUGAAAGCCGGCGGCCCAACCGCCGGACUGCUCUGGAAACUGCAUGGCUGGAGUACAGGAGG